AUCCAGCUGACGAGUCCCCAAUAGGACGAAAUGAACUUUCAGGAU
Molecule: non-coding RNA, 45 nt
Filed under: Schistosoma haematobium
Lineage: Eukaryota; Metazoa; Platyhelminthes; Trematoda; Strigeidida; Schistosomatidae
Source: RNAcentral